GGGUUGUGAGGUUAAGCGACUAAGCGUACACGGUGGAUGCCCUGGCAGUCAGAGGCGAUGAAGGGCGUGCUAAUCUGCGAUAAGCGCCGGUAAGGUGAUAUGAACCGUUAUAACCGGCGAUACCCGAAUGGGGAAACCCAGUGUGACUCGUCACACUAUCAUUAACUGAAUCCAUAGGUUAAUGAGGCGAACCGGGGGAACUGAAACAUCUAAGUACCCCGAGGAAAAGAAAUCAACCGAGAUUCCCCCAGUAGCGGCGAGCGAACGGGGAGGAGCCCAGAGCCUGAAUCAGCAUGUGUGUUAGUGGAAGCGUCUGGAAAGGCGCGCGAUACAGGGUGACAGCCCCGUACACAAAAGCGCAUGUGCUGUGAGCUCGAUGAGUAGGGCGGGACACGUGGUAUCCUGUCUGAAUAUGGGGGGACCAUCCUCCAAGGCUAAAUACUCCUGACUGACCGAUAGUGAACCAGUACCGUGAGGGAAAGGCGAAAAGA
This 491-nucleotide ribosomal RNA is filed under the name Salmonella enterica subsp. enterica serovar Binza. Its description in RNAcentral is "partial 23S ribosomal RNA". It matches the Rfam family "Bacterial large subunit ribosomal RNA", at positions 1 to 522 of the family's 2925-position model. The record is from RNAcentral. Lineage: Bacteria; Pseudomonadati; Pseudomonadota; Gammaproteobacteria; Enterobacterales; Enterobacteriaceae.